This 1137-nucleotide long non-coding RNA is filed under the name Homo sapiens (human). RNAcentral's name for it is "non-protein coding lnc-TACC2-9:1". Lineage: Eukaryota; Metazoa; Chordata; Mammalia; Primates; Hominidae. The record is from RNAcentral.
UGUGCCACCACACCCAGCUAAUUUUGUAUAUUUAGUAGAGAUGGGCUUUCUCCAUGUUGGUCGGGCUGGUCUCGAACUCCCGACCUCAGGUGAUCUGUCUGCCUCGGCCUCCCAAAGUGCUGGAAUUACAGGCAUGAGCUACCGCGCCUGACCCUAAUUAAUUUGAAUUUUAAAACUACAACAGUACAGAACACACCAAGCAGGCACAAAUGCCAAAAAGUCUACACAGGUGUAUCAUAUAUAAGGCACCAGAAAUCAAAGACAGAAAAUCUUGAAAGAAGCCAGAGGAAAAAAGAGACCUUACAUAUAGAGGAGCAACAAUAAGAAUUACAUCACACCUCUCUUCAGAAACCAUGGAAGCCAGGAGAGAGGAGAGUGAAGUAUUUAAAAAAUAUUGAAAGAACAAAAAACAGCCUAGAAUUCUAUAUCCAGAGAAAUUAUCCUUCAAAAGUGAAAGGGAAUUAAAGACUAUCUCAGAUAAAAAUGGAGGGAGUUUGUUGCCAGUAGACCUGCUUUCCAAGAAAUGUUGAAGAAAUUCUUCAGAGAGAAAGCAAAUAGGCCGGGCAUGGUGGCUCACGCCUGUAAUCCUAGCACUUUGGGAGGCCGAGGCAGGUGGAUUACCUGAGCUUAGGACUUUGAGACCAGCCUGGCCAACAUGAUGAAACCCCGUCUCUACUAAAAAUACAAAAAAUUAGCGGGGCAUGGUGGUAGCACACACGUGUAAUCCCAGCUACUCGGGAGGCUGAGGCAUGAGAAUCACUUGAACCUGGGAGGCAGAGGUUGCAGUGAACGGAGAUCGCACCACUGCACUCCAGCCUGGGCGACAGAGCGAGACUACAUCUCAAAAAAAAAAAAGAAGGCAAAUAAUGUGGCUCAGAAAUUCAGAUCUGCAUAAAGAAAGGAAGAGCAUUAGAGAAGGAAUAAAUGGAGGUAAAAAUGUUUUUAACCUUAAUUGAUCUAACAGCAGUUGGCCACAGAUAAUAACAACAACUUGUAUUUGGGCCAGGCAUGGUGGCUCACGCCUGUAAUCCCAGCACUUUGGGAGGCCAACGUGGGCGGAUCACAAGGUCAAGAGAUUGAGACCAUCCUGGCCCACAUGGCGAAACCCCACCUCUGCUAAAAAUACAAAAAAAUUAG